GCACAAGCGGUGGAGCAUGUGGUUUAAUUCGAAGCAACGCGAAGAACCUUACCAGGUCUUGACAUCCCGAUGCUAUUCUAGAGAUAGAAAGUUACUUCGGUACAUCGGUGACAGGUGGUGCAUGGUUGUCGUCAGCUCGUGUCGUGAGAUGUUGGGUUAAGUCCCGCAACGAGCGCAACCCUUGCCAUUAGUUGCUACGAAAGGGCACUCUAAUGGGACUGCCGGUGACAAACCGGAGGAAGGUGGGGAUGACGUCAAGUCCUCAUGGCCCUUAUAGGUGGGGCUACACACGUCAUACAAUGGCCGGUACAGAGGGUAGCCAACCCGCGAGGGGGAGCCAAUCCCACAAAGCCGGUCGUAGUCCGGAUCGCAGUCUGCAACUCGACUGCGUGAAGUCGGAAUCGCUAGUAAUCGCGGAUCAGCAUGUCGCGGUGAAUACGUUCCCGGGUCUU
RNAcentral lists this ribosomal RNA (452 nucleotides) under uncultured Allobrachymonas sp. RNAcentral describes it as "bacterial SSU rRNA". It matches the Rfam family "Bacterial small subunit ribosomal RNA", at positions 923 to 1382 of the family's 1533-position model. The record is from RNAcentral. Lineage: Bacteria; Pseudomonadati; Pseudomonadota; Betaproteobacteria; Burkholderiales; Comamonadaceae.